This 629-nucleotide ribosomal RNA is filed under the name Phanerochaete concrescens. RNAcentral's name for it is "eukaryotic LSU rRNA". The stretch from base 208 to 361 matches the Rfam family "5.8S ribosomal RNA". The record is from RNAcentral. Lineage: Eukaryota; Fungi; Basidiomycota; Agaricomycetes; Polyporales; Phanerochaetaceae.
AAGCGGAGACAUUCCAGUAACUGAACGGGUUGUAGCUGGCCUCUCGGGGCAUGUGCACACCUGGCUCAUCCACUCUUCAACCUCUGUGCACUUGUUGUAGGUCGGCAGAAGGGCGAGCCUUAAAACAGCUCGCUUGGAAGCCUUCCUAUGUUUUAUUACAAACGCUUCAGUUUAAGAAUGUAACCUGCGUAUAACGCAACUAUAUACAACUUUCAGCAACGGAUCUCUUGGCUCUCGCAUCGAUGAAGAACGCAGCGAAAUGCGAUAAGUAAUGUGAAUUGCAGAAUUCAGUGAAUCAUCGAAUCUUUGAACGCACCUUGCGCUCCCUGGUAUUCCGGGGAGCAUGCCUGUUUGAGUGUCAUGGUAUCCUCAUCCUUCAUAACUUUUUGUUAUCGAAGGCAUGGACUUGGAGGUCGUGCUGGUUCCUCGUUGAAUCGGCUCCUCUUAAAUGUAUUAGCGUGAGUGUAACGGAUCGCUUCGGUGUGAUAAUUAUCUGCGCCGUGGUCGUGAAGGAACAUAAGCUUGCGCUUCUAACCGUCCUUAAGUUGGACAACUUACUUUGACAUCUGACCUCAAAUCAGGUAGGACUACCCGCUGAACUUAAGCAUACAAAAACCGGGGAAAGAAAA